Molecule: long non-coding RNA, 4318 nt
Organism: Oncorhynchus tshawytscha (Chinook salmon)
Lineage: Eukaryota; Metazoa; Chordata; Actinopteri; Salmoniformes; Salmonidae
Source: Ensembl
CGCCCCAUGAACUCGCAGUAUGUACACAUUGGACCCUCGAGGAAGAAGAGGAAUAUGACCAGCCUACACGCCGUAUAGAUCAGUGCUUCGCCCACAGAGGGAACUGCGACUAACUGACAGCGAGGAAGAAUGCCGAGGAGAAAACAAUCAAACCCACAGCCCGUCAAAUUAGACGGUGUGGAGUGUGAACCAGGAUGCCUGGUUCUGGACAGUGACUUCCUGCUUAGUGGAGAGCUCUGUGAGUUUGGAGACACAGAGAUCAUGGGGCUGGACAGAGACACAGGUCAGACACACACACACACACACACACACACACUUACACAUAUACACAAACACGGACCAACUUGAUCUCAUAGUUUCACUUCCGAAAUUAUGGAUGAACGUCUAUUUUGUGAUGCAUUAGUUCUGCGUGGUUACAGGUUUACUUCCGAACGGUAAAGGGUUAACUCCGAACGGUAAACCGGGUUAACUCCGAAUGGUAAACAGGGUUAACUCCGAGUGGUAAACAGGGUUAACUCCGAACGGUAAACAGGGUUAACUCCGAGUGGUAAACAGGGUUAACUCCGAACGGUAAACAGGGUUAACUCCGAGUGGUAAACAGGGUUAACUCCGAGUGGUAAACAGGGUUAACUCCGAGUGGUAAACAGGGUUAACUCCGAGUGGUAAACAGGGUUAACUCCGUGCGGUAAACAGGGUUAACUCCGAGUGGUAAACAGGGUUAAUUCUGCAUAGUUUAAAAUAGAAACAACUCGAAAGGUUGAAGCUUAGGUAUUAUUAAGUCCGAGGGGUUAAUGUCCACGCCCCCGUGGGAAUUCUUUUAGCAUAAUAACACAAUCCCCAUUUUAAAAUCCAUCAGUUUAAACUAGAGAUAUCACCUUUUGUUGCAUUGGAUUGCGUCUCAAUCCCAUGGCAUCCACCGAUGUCUCACUUUCCCAUCUGCGGUGAAAGGUGACCGAGCUAGAGCGGUGUUUGUCAGACCAAGAGACAUCCAGAAAAUCAUUAUUCUCACAAAAUUGGUUUUGCAACAUCCGGAUGGUUUGGCCUUCAAAACUAUUAUGAAAAGACGAGACUCUCACAAACAUGACGGUGUUCUCUGUUUUUCUCUACGACCCCCACAAGAGUCUUGGGACCCGUGUGAAGCCGGUACCGCUGAUCUGCCAACCUCUGUCUGUGGCGAACAGUUUGGGUUACACACUAAUAUGGACCCGUCUGUGGAAAGGUGAGACGGUGUCUUUUGUGGGUGGGUGUCUUUUGCUCUAGGACACCCGCAGGUCUCACAGGACUUGUCUGAAGGUUCGCCUGCACCAGUUGAAAACAUUUAUGAAAUAAUAUAUAGAGACUAUUUAGUCACAAUAAUAAGGGGUUAAAUAUAUGUUUUAAAAAAACCAAACAUAUAUUAUUUAUGUAGGACAAACUUGGACAAACUUGAUUUUGUUUCUGUUCCAUGUAGUGAAUAUGGUAUUCAAUGCGUUUCUAUGGGCUAAUAGAUGUGAGGCCAAAUUAUAAUUUUUCAUCAAAUAAUGUUUUUUUUUUUUUAUUCAAGUUUCCUUAAACUUCUAACUCAAAUAGCUAAAUGAUCCUUGGUAUGACUUUCUGAAAACAACUCCAUAUAGCUCCAUAUAGCUUAGUACAACCCCCCCGGCUUGGACAGGGCUUAGUCUGUAGAGGGUUAAGGUUUGGCCUCGGGGGUUUGGGGAAUGCGCUGUUUCCAUCAAGUAUCAUCUAGAGCAUUGUGAACUGGAGUGGUCAGAGCAGCAUGCUUCGGUCUAAUGCCACGUUCAAAACAAUGGAGAACUGUGAAAAUUACGAGGUCAAAUCAUGACGGAGCUGAUCUUCAAGUUGGAAAGUCAGAACUCUAGAAAGAGGCCAGAGUUCCUGAGUUGAAUUCUGAGUUCAAAACAAAAAAUGUCCCUUCCCAGUCGGAGCGCAUUUUUUCUCCCCCAGAGUUCCUGAGUUGUUUUGAACCCAGCAUAAGCAGCGCUCUUCGCCUCCCAGCAUCACACCAGUGCUCUGCAAUAAUUUUCAAAACAUUUUAUAUAUAUUUUUUGUAGGUCGAUAUCUUCAGUGACCUUUUCAGAUGUCCGCAAUAGAAUGCUAUUUCUAGUGACUAAUAGAAUGCUAUUUCUACUGACCAAUAGAAUGCUGUUUCUACUGACCAAUAGAAUGCUGUUUCUAGUAACCAAUAGAAUGCUGUUUCUAGUGACCAAUAGAAUGCUGUUUCUAGUGACCAAUAGAAUGCUGUUUCUAGUGACCAAUAGAAUGCUGUUUCUAGUGACCAAUAGAAUGCUGUUUCUAGUGACCAAUAGAAUGCUGUUUCUAGUGACCAAUAGAAUGCUAUUUCUAGUGACCAAUAGAAUGCUAUUUCUAGUGACCAAUAGAAUGCUAUUUCUAGUGACCAAUAGAAUGCUAUUUCUAGUGACCAAUAGAAUGCUAUUUCCAUUGACCAAUAGAAUGCUAUUUCCAGUGACCAAUAGAAUGCUGUUUUUAGUGACCAAUAGAAUGCUGUUUCUAGUGACCAAUAGAAUGCUGUUUCUAGUGACCAAUAGAAUGCUGUUUCUAGUGACCAAUAGAAUGCUGUAUCUAGUGACCAAUAGAAUGCUGUUUCUAGUGACCAAUAGAAUGCUAUUUCUAGUCACCAGUAGAAUGCUUUUUCUAGUGACCAAUAGGAUGCUUUUUCUAGUGACGAAUAGGAUGCUUUUUCUAGUGACCAAUAGAAUGCUGUUUCUAGUAACCAGGCUGACACUGACAAGUACACAGACACACACUUACAGGGCAUUCGGAAAAUUUUCAGACCCCAUGACUUUUUCCACUAUUUGUUAUGUUACAGCCUUAUUCUAAAAUGUAUUAAAUAAUUUCCCCCCCUCAUCAAUCUAAACACAAUACCCCAUUUAAAAAAUGUAUUUUUAGACAUUUUAGCAAAUGUAAAAAAACAAAACUGAAAUAUCAGAUUUACAUAAGUAUUCAUACCCUUUACUCAGUACUUUGUUGAAGCACCUUUGACAGCGAUUACAGCCUUGACUCUUCUUGGGUAUGACGCUACAAACUUGUCACACCUGUAUUUAGGGAGUUUCUCCCAUUCUUCUCUGCAGAUCCUCUCAAACUCUGUUGGGUUAGAUGGGGAGGUCUCUCCAGAGAUGUUCGAUCGGAUUCUGGCUGGGCCACCCAAGGACAUUGAGACUUUUCCCAAAGCCACUCCUACAUUGUCUUGGCUGUGUGCUUAGGUUUGUUGUCCUGUUGGAAGGUGAACCUUCACCCCAGUCUGAAGUCCUGAGCACUCUGGAGCAGGUUUUCAUCAAGGAUCUCUGUACUUUGCUCCGUUCAUCUUUCCCUCGAUCCUGACCAGUCUCUCUGAAAAACAUCCAUGCUUCACCAUAGGGAUGGUAUUGGCCAGAUGCUGAGCGGUGCCUUGUUUCUUCCAGUCGUGACAUUUGGCAUUCAAGCCAAAGAGUUCAAUCUUGGUUUCAUCAGACCAGAGAAUCUUGUUUCUCGUGAUCUGAGAGUCAUUAGGUGCCUUUUGGCGAACUCCAAGCAGGCAGUCAUGUGCCUUUUGCUGAGGAGUGGCUUCCGUCUGGCCACACUACCAUAAAGGCCUGAUUGGUGGAGUGCUGCGGAGAUGGUUGUCCUUCUGGAAGGUUCUCCCAUCUCCACAGAGGAACUCUGGAGCUCUGUCAGAGUGACCAUUGGAUUCUUGGUCGCUUCCCUGACCAAGGCCCUUCUCCCCCGAUUUCUCAGUUUGGCCGGGUGGCCAGCUCUAGGAAGAGUCUUGGUGGUUCCAAACUUCUUCCAUUUAAGAAUGAUGGAGGCCACUGUGUUCUUGGGGACCUUCAAUAACGUUGUAGAAACAUCUCAAGGAUGAUCGACGGAAACAGUAUGCACCUGAGCUUAAUGUUGAAACUAAUGAAUACUAAUGUAAAUAAGGUAUUUCUGGAUUUUUAUUUUUGUAUAAAUUUGCAAACGUUUCUAAACCUGUUUUCGCUUCGUCAUUAUGGGGUAUUGUGUUUAGAUUGAUGAGGAAUUUCUUUCAUUUAAUCCAUUUUAGAAUUAAGCUGUAACUUAACAAAACGUGGAAAAAGUCCAGGGGUCUGAAUACUUUCUGAAUGCAUUGAAUAUGGUGUUGUAUGCUCCUUCCCUCUCUCUCUCCCUUGCUCUCUUCCUCUCUCUCUAACCCUUUCUCUCUACUCCUCUCUUUGUCCUCGCUCUAGCACUCUCCCUCCUUCUCUCUCUCCCUCCUCUCUCUCUCCCUCCUUCUCUCUCUCUCCCUCCUUCUCUCUCUCUCCCUCCUUCUCUCUCUCUCCCUCCUUCUCUCUCCUUCUCUCUC